Molecule: ribosomal RNA, 252 nt
Filed under: Triticum aestivum (bread wheat)
Lineage: Eukaryota; Viridiplantae; Streptophyta; Magnoliopsida; Poales; Poaceae
Description: partial small subunit ribosomal RNA
Source: RNAcentral
AUGCAGCUGCACCAUGCCGCCAAAACCCAUCGUCAUCUAUGCGGUAGAUACAACGCCGCACCACCUGGCAACCUCCACACCGUCGCCACUACUGGAGGUACUCGGAGCCCACCAUCCAUAGCAUCUCUCCCCCGAACAGCAGGUCUUCCCAAGACGGCGCCUUCAUGGAAGAUACGACGCGCAGGACGCCGCCGCCGCCCAAUCCACACUGAAUUUUGGACUUUCGUCCGGGAGGGGUUCGGAGGUGGAUAG